Molecule: unclassified non-coding RNA, 242 nt
Filed under: Hevea brasiliensis (rubber tree)
Lineage: Eukaryota; Viridiplantae; Streptophyta; Magnoliopsida; Malpighiales; Euphorbiaceae
Source: RNAcentral
GUCAUCACUUAGUUUAGAUGAUGUUACUGAGUCUGUGGCAAAUGACUUUCUUGACAUGCUGGGGAUUGAGCUCAGUCCAUUAGUCUUGAGUUCAGAGAGUGAACCUGAGUCGCCAAGGGAACGCUUACUAAGACAGUUUGAGAAGGAUGCCCUAGCUGGGGGUUAUUCCAUGUUUGAUUUUGGUGUUGACAUUGAGGACCAAAUAGAAUGUGACCACAACACAUCAACUGUAUCUGAGUGGG